GAGUGGCGAACGGGUGAGUAACACGUGGGUAACCUGCCCAGAAGUAGGGGAUAACACCUGGAAACAGAUGCUAAUACCGUAUAACAGAGAAAACCGCAUGGUUUUCUUUUAAAAGAUGGCUCUGCUAUCACUUCUGGAUGGACCCGCGGCGUAUUAGCUAGUUGGUGAGGUAAAGGCUCACCAAGGCAGUGAUACGUAGCCGACCUGAGAGGGUAAUCGGCCACAUUGGGACUGAGACACGGCCCAGACUCCUACGGGAGGCAGCAGUAGGGAAUCUUCCACAAUGGACGCAAGUCUGAUGGAGCAACGCCGCGUGAGUGAAGAAGGGUUUCGGCUCGUAAAGCUCUGUUGUUAAAGAAGAACGUGGGUAAGAGUAACUGUUUACCCAGUGACGGUAUUUAACCAGAAAGCCACGGCUAACUACGUGCCAGCAGCCGCGGUAAUACGUAGGUGGCAAGCGUUAUCCGGAUUUAUUGGGCGUAAAGCGAGCGCAGGCGGUCUUUUAAGUCUAAUGUGAAAGCCUUCGGCUCAACCGAAGAAGUGCAUUGGAAACUGGGAGACUUGAGUGCAGAAGAGGACAGUGGAACUCCAUGUGUAGCGGUGAAAUGCGUAGAUAUAUGGAAGAACACCAGUGGCGAAGGCGGCUGUCUGGUCUGCAACUGACGCUGAGGCUCGAAAGCAUGGGUAGCGAACAGGAUUAGAUACCCUGGUAGUCCAUGCCGUAAACGAUGAUUACUAAGUGUUGGAGGGUUUCCGCCCUUCAGUGCUGCAGCUAACGCAUUAAGUAAUCCGCCUGGGGAGUACGACCGCAAGGUUGAAACUCAAAAGAAUUGACGGGGGCCCGCACAAGCGGUGGAGCAUGUGGUUUAAUUCGAAGCUACGCGAAGAACCUUACCAGGUCUUGACAUCUUCUGACAGUCUAAGAGAUUAGAGGUUCCCUUCGGGGACAGAAUGACAGGUGGUGCAUGGUUGUCGUCAGCUCGUGUCGUGAGAUGUUGGGUUAAGUCCCGCAACGAGCGCAACCCUUAUUACUAGUUGCCAGCAUUAAGUUGGGCACUCUAGUGAGACUGCCGGUGACAAACCGGAGGAAGGUGGGGACGACGUCAAAUCAUCAUGCCCCUUAUGACCUGGGCUACACACGUGCUACAAUGGAUGGUACAACGAGUCGCGAGACCGCGAGGUUAAGCUAAUCUCUUAAAACCAUUCUCAGUUCGGACUGUAGGCUGCAACUCGCCUACACGAAGUCGGAAUCGCUAGUAAUCGCGGAUCAGCAUGCCGCGGUGAAUACGUUCCCGGGCCUUGUACACACCGCCCGUCACACCAUGAGAGUUUGUAACACCCAAAGCCGGUGGGGUAACCUUUUAGGAGCUAGCCGUCUAAGGUG
RNAcentral lists this ribosomal RNA (1384 nucleotides) under Pediococcus pentosaceus. RNAcentral's name for it is "16S ribosomal RNA". It matches the Rfam family "Bacterial small subunit ribosomal RNA", at positions 93 to 1464 of the family's 1533-position model. Lineage: Bacteria; Bacillati; Bacillota; Bacilli; Lactobacillales; Lactobacillaceae. The record is from RNAcentral.